This 253-nucleotide ribosomal RNA is filed under the name uncultured prokaryote. Its description in RNAcentral is "partial 16S ribosomal RNA". It matches the Rfam family "Bacterial small subunit ribosomal RNA", at positions 525 to 777 of the family's 1533-position model. The record is from RNAcentral.
ACGUAGGGUGCAGGCGUUAAUCGGAAUUACUGGGCGUAAAGCGUGCGCAGGCGGUCUGCUAAGAGAGAUGUGAAAUCCCCGGGCUUAACCUGGGAACUGCGUUUCUAACUGGCAGGCUUGAGUGUGGCAGAGGGGGGUGGAAUUCCACGUGUAGCAGUGAAAUGCGUAGAGAUGUGGAGGAACACCGAUGGCGAAGGCGGCAUCCUGGACCGGUAUUGACGCUGAGGCGCGAUAGCCAGGGGAGCAAACGGGA